AUGACCAGAAGUAUGCUGAAAGAGAAGAAGCUACCUCACAUGUUAUGGGGAGAAGCUGUUGCCACAUCAACAUAUGUUCUGAAUAGGUGUCAAAAGAAGAAGCUGAAGGAAAUUGUUCCUUUAGAAAAGUGUACUGGAGAUAAGCAAAGUGUUAGCCAUCUGAGGGUGUUUGGUUCUGUAUGCUACAAAUACGUUCCAGAAGCUAGAAGACGGAAACUGGAUGAUAGAAGCAAAGUAAUGUUACUGGUGGGGUACCACAAUACAUGUGCCUAUAAUUUUUAUUGUCCAGAAACCAACAAA
Molecule: non-coding RNA, 300 nt
Organism: Vicia faba (fava bean)
Lineage: Eukaryota; Viridiplantae; Streptophyta; Magnoliopsida; Fabales; Fabaceae
Source: the annotation of a GenBank genome assembly